This 240-nucleotide unclassified non-coding RNA is filed under the name soil metagenome. Its description in RNAcentral is "partial contains 5.8S ribosomal RNA, internal transcribed spacer 2, and large subunit ribosomal RNA". The record is from RNAcentral.
AACCUUAUGGACCUGCGGGCGUAUACCUGCGGAGGGAUCAUUACAUAUUGGUCAAAAGAAUAGUUUGAAAAAGGCUAUUUUUUUUUGACUUAAAAAACUUAUCCACAGUGUGGGAAAUGUCUUCUAACGCUUGUGCCUGGUUCAGUCUAGUGCUGCCACUUGAGUUUAUCCUUAGAUCAAGGGAUCUUUGGGUAGUUGUUCAUUAUUUUCUCUCUCUUUUUAGGGGGGGGGAGAUUAAUG